Molecule: transfer RNA, 72 nt
Filed under: Candidatus Woesebacteria bacterium CG_4_10_14_0_2_um_filter_44_9
Lineage: Bacteria; Candidatus Woeseibacteriota
Also listed under: 2 other names
Description: tRNA-Ile
Rfam family: tRNA
About the family: Transfer RNA (tRNA) molecules are approximately 80 nucleotides in length.
Source: RNAcentral
GGCUCGGUAGCUCAGCGGUAGAGCGCUACUCUUAUAAAGUAGAUGUCCAUGGUUCGAAUCCAUGCCGAGCCA